UUACACUUUUCGAGUGUCCCGUAGUUUUUGUACUUGUCGUGGUUUCUUUUGACACGGGAUCUAUAUUGGUGGGAACACUAUCGUUUGUCUCUCUCCCAUGACUAAUUGGAUCAAGGUCAUCAAGGUUAGGCUCGUCCGUAUCAUCCACCAUGUGCAAAUCAUUUAAAAUACUUCUUGACAUCAUCUAUAAAUGUCAAACAAAUCAAAUUAUUAUGUCAAUCAAAUUAUAAAUAUUAUGAAUCAUUACUUAUACAUAUAUAAUAAUAAUAAUAAUAAUAAUAAUAAUAUAAAGAGUAGUUUUCUUGAGCUUUUUAUUUCCUUGCGGGCAUUGAUUGUGGAAGCAUUCAUUCGGAUCAAAUCAUAUUCAUAACCUGUGUGUCCCAAGAAUUAAGGAGAGAUGAAUAUGUCUAAUGAAAAGUAAUUAAUUCUCUCUUCUUACCAAUGUUCAAUUAUUUCAAGCCUAAAGGGGAUCGGAGGAUCAGGAUUUGAUUAAAACUUAACUUUAUUAUUUAUAAAAACAAAUUAGAAUUACAGGUGACCCUUAGGCCUUAACAAAGAACUUAUCAGUUGAACCAAAAAAUAGAAUUAUGGGUGACCUACUGACCUUAAUUUAGCAUUUCUUUAGGCAUCCUAAUUCCUACAGUUCCAAAAAAACCCUAGUUUUAUGGAAUUUUGCAGGGCCAGGAUAUGUGUAUGCCAUGUUCCACCAAAAAGAAAAUAAGAACUAGAUAAAUUAAAAGAACAUGUUGAUGCUAGAAAGUAGAAAUGACAAACAGAGGUGUGUGAAAAUACCAAAAAUAGACAGAAGCCGAGAGGCGAAGGCCAGAGACUGCGGUGAGAGACGGCGCGACAGAAGCCGAGAGGCGAAGGCCGAAGCAGAUAUUGAGACGGAGAGGGAGCGAGUAGCGAGAAACUGAAGUUCAGAUCGAGAAGCAAGAAGCCAAGAAGAUUAGAAGAUGCUGAGAAAUUGAAGUUAAGAUCUGGGAUGGGAAUGGCUAGUGAGUAGCGAGCUAGGGCAAAACUUUAACUUACUGAAUACUCGUAGAUA
This 1048-nucleotide long non-coding RNA is filed under the name Panax ginseng (ginseng). RNAcentral's name for it is "long non-coding RNA (PGIN_LNC011655)". The record is from RNAcentral. Lineage: Eukaryota; Viridiplantae; Streptophyta; Magnoliopsida; Apiales; Araliaceae.